Molecule: ribosomal RNA, 253 nt
Filed under: uncultured bacterium
Lineage: Bacteria
Description: partial 16S ribosomal RNA
Rfam family: Bacterial small subunit ribosomal RNA
Source: RNAcentral
UACGUAGGUGGCAAGCGUUGUCCGGAAUUACUGGGCGUAAAGAGCGCGUAGGCGGGGAUUUAAGUCAGGAGUGAAAACUACCGGCUCAACCGGUAGCCUGCUCUUGAAACUGAAUUUCUUGAGGGUAUGAGAGGAAAGCGGAAUUCCCAGUGUAGCGGUGAAAUGCGUAGAUAUUGGGAGGAACACCAGUGGCGAAGGCGGCUUUCUGGCAUACAACUGACGCUGAGGCGCGAAAGCGUGGGGAGCAAACGGG